ACCCUCAACAACGGAUAUCUUGGCUCUCGCAACGAUGAAGAACGCAGCGAAAUGCGAUACGUAGUGCGAAUUGCAGGAUGUAUGCGAGUCAUCGAAUCUUUGAACGCAUAUUGCGCUCGAGGCUUCGGCCGAGAGCAUGUCUGCCUGAGCGUC
RNAcentral lists this ribosomal RNA (153 nucleotides) under Picochlorum sp. RCC944. RNAcentral describes it as "5.8S ribosomal RNA". It matches the Rfam family "5.8S ribosomal RNA". From Rfam's summary of the family: 5.8S ribosomal RNA (5.8S rRNA) is a component of the large subunit of the eukaryotic ribosome. It is transcribed by RNA polymerase I as part of the 45S precursor that also contains 18S and 28S rRNA. Functionally, it is thought that 5.8S rRNA may be involved in ribosome translocation. The record is from RNAcentral. RNAcentral also lists the same sequence under 1 other name. Lineage: Eukaryota; Viridiplantae; Chlorophyta; Trebouxiophyceae.